UUUUGACCCAAGAAACACCUAUCACCU
RNAcentral lists this non-coding RNA (27 nucleotides) under Homo sapiens (human). The record is from RNAcentral. Lineage: Eukaryota; Metazoa; Chordata; Mammalia; Primates; Hominidae.